AGUCACUGACAUUAGACUACCCCGUAGUCCCAGCCGUAAACUAUGCGCGUUAGGUGUAUCGGUGACCACGAGUUACCGAGGUGCCGAAGGGAAACCGUGAAACGUGCCGCCUGGGAAGUACGGUCGCAAGGCUGAAACUUAAAGGAAUUGGCGGGGAGCACCACAACAGGUGGAGCCUGCGGUUUAAUUGGACUCAACGCCGGAAAUCUCACCGGAUAGGACAGACAUAUGAUAGUCGGGCUGAAGACUCUACUUGAUGAUCUG
This 264-nucleotide ribosomal RNA is filed under the name uncultured archaeon. Its description in RNAcentral is "partial 16S ribosomal RNA". It matches the Rfam family "Archaeal small subunit ribosomal RNA", at positions 718 to 982 of the family's 1478-position model. The record is from RNAcentral.